Molecule: transfer RNA, 68 nt
Filed under: Ictidomys tridecemlineatus (thirteen-lined ground squirrel)
Lineage: Eukaryota; Metazoa; Chordata; Mammalia; Rodentia; Sciuridae
Description: Spermophilus tridecemlineatus (thirteen-lined ground squirrel) tRNA
Rfam family: tRNA
About the family: Transfer RNA (tRNA) molecules are approximately 80 nucleotides in length.
Source: Rfam by way of RNAcentral
GGAGUUGUGGCUCAUGGUAGAGCACUUGCCUGGCAUGUGUGAGGCCCUGAGUUCGAUCCUCAGCACCA